AAUGAACGCUGGCGGCGUGCUUAACACAUGCAAGUCGAGCGAGGCCUGGGGGGCAACUCCCAGAGUCGAGCGGCGGACGGGUGAGUAACACGUGGGUAACCUGCCCGGAAGUGGGGAAUACCUCGGGAAACUCGAGCUAAUACCGCAUGACAUCUCCGGGACGAAAGUCCUGGCGAUCAAAGCGGGGUCGCAAGAUCUCGCGCUACCGGAUGGGCCCGCGCCCGAUUAGCUAGNGGUGAGGUAACGGCUCACCAAGGCUUCGAUCGGUAACCGGCCUGAGAGGGGCGGA
RNAcentral lists this ribosomal RNA (289 nucleotides) under uncultured bacterium. RNAcentral describes it as "partial 16S ribosomal RNA". It matches the Rfam family "Bacterial small subunit ribosomal RNA", at positions 29 to 304 of the family's 1533-position model. The record is from RNAcentral.